UCUAUCUAUCCUGAGGUUCUUGUAACAUAUUAACAGUGUCAGCAUGGAGAGUACCUUCCAGCUCUAUGAACAUUAAGGAUAAAGCUUCUAGUUGGGUAUUAGCCCAAUUUCUCCGUGUUUGAUGACAUAAGUGAAGGAAGAUCUAAUGAAGUUCCACCUCUGAGUGUGUAUUAACACUUGAUUGCCGUCUGAGAUACAAGGGUCUUACCAUGAUGCUCAUGAUAAUCUCAGACUCAGGCACAGAGGAGGGACUUCUUGCCUGUCUCCUGUGUAUCUUUCAUUGAAGAUACAAACCACACACCAAGCUGGUGGUAUUGUACGAUGAAGUGUUUUCUGCCUUUCAUUUUCCAUUGCUGUUAAACACAUUGGGAAGUAAGCCUGGAAUAACCCUCCUACAAACUAGGAGUAAUAGAGUUUGAACAUU
This is a long non-coding RNA of Microtus oregoni (creeping vole), 424 nucleotides long. RefSeq lists it as uncharacterized. The record is from RefSeq and is a predicted model, not a curated record. Lineage: Eukaryota; Metazoa; Chordata; Mammalia; Rodentia; Cricetidae. The transcript has 5 exons.